This 174-nucleotide ribosomal RNA is filed under the name Chloroflexota bacterium. Its description in RNAcentral is "partial 16S ribosomal RNA". It matches the Rfam family "Bacterial small subunit ribosomal RNA", at positions 1360 to 1533 of the family's 1533-position model. The record is from RNAcentral. Lineage: Bacteria; Bacillati; Chloroflexota.
CGGUGAAUACGUUCCCGGGCCUUGUACACACCGCCCGUCACGUCAUGGAAGCCGGUAACACCUGAAGUCGCCGCGCUAACCCUCGGGAGGCAGGCGCCGAAGGUGGGACUGGUGACUGGGACGAAGUCGUAACAAGGUAGUUGUACCGGAAGGUGCGGCUGGAUCACCUCCUUU